RNAcentral lists this ribosomal RNA (186 nucleotides) under uncultured bacterium. RNAcentral describes it as "partial 16S ribosomal RNA". It matches the Rfam family "Bacterial small subunit ribosomal RNA", at positions 1315 to 1500 of the family's 1533-position model. The record is from RNAcentral.
ACUACAUGAAGCUGGAAUCGCUAGUAAUCGCGAAUCAGAAUGUCGCGGUGAAUACGUUCCCGGGUCUUGUACACACCGCCCGUCACACCAUGGGAGUCGGAAAUGCCCGAAGUCAGUGACCUAACCGAAAGGGAGGAGCUGCCGAAGGUGGAGCCGGUAACUGGGGUGAAGUCGUAACAAGGUAAC